Molecule: ribosomal RNA, 497 nt
Filed under: uncultured bacterium
Lineage: Bacteria
Description: partial 16S ribosomal RNA
Rfam family: Bacterial small subunit ribosomal RNA
Source: RNAcentral
GACGAACGCUGGCGGCGUGCCUAAUACAUGCAAGUUGAGCGCUGAAGGUUGGUACUUGUACCAACUGGAUGAGCAGCGAACGGGUGAGUAACGCGUGGGGAAUCUGCCUUUGAGCGGGGGACAACAUUUGGAAACGAAUGCUAAUACCGCAUAAAAACUUUAAACACAAGUUUUAAGUUUGAAAGAUGCAAUUGCAUCACUCAAAGAUGAUCCCGCGUUGUAUUAGCUAGUUGGUGAGGUAAAGGCUCACCAAGGCGAUGAUACAUAGCCGAACUGAGAGGGUGAUCCGCCAAAAUUGGACUGAGACACGGCCCAAACUCCUUCGGGAGGCAGCAGGAGGGAAUCUUCGGCAAUGGACGAAAGUCUUGCCGGGCAACGCCGCGUGAGUGAAGAAGGGUUUCGGAUCGUAAAACUCUGUUGGUAGAGAAGAACGUUGGUGAGAGUGGAAAGCGCAUCAAGUGACGGUAACUACCCAGAAAGGGACGGCUAACUACGUG